AUGAACGCUGGCGGCGUGCCUAAUCCCUGCAAGUCGAGCGAACGGACGAGAAGCUUGCUUCUCUGAUGUUAGCGGCGGACGGGUGAGUAACACGUGGAUAACCUACCUAUAAGACUGGGAUAACUUCGGGAAACCGUAGCUAAUACCGGAUAAUAUUUUGAACCGCAUGGUUCCAAAGUGAAAGACGGUCUUGCUGUCACUUAUAGAUGGAUCCGCGCUGCAUUAGCUAGUUGGUAAGGUAACGGCUUACCAAGGCAACGAUGCAUAGCCGACCUGAGAGGGUGAUCGGCCACACUGGAACUGAGACACGGUCCAGACUCCUACGGGAGGCAGCAGUAGGGAAUCUUCCGCAAUGGGCGAAAGCCUGACGGAGCAACGCCGCGUGAGUGAUGAAGGUCUUCGGAUCGUAAAACUCUGUUAUUAGGGAAGAACAUAUGUGUAAGUAACUGUGCACAUCUUGACGGUACCUAAUCAGAAAGCCACGGCUAACUACGUG
Molecule: ribosomal RNA, 496 nt
Filed under: uncultured bacterium
Lineage: Bacteria
Description: partial 16S ribosomal RNA
Rfam family: Bacterial small subunit ribosomal RNA
Source: RNAcentral